This 374-nucleotide ribosomal RNA is filed under the name uncultured bacterium. Its description in RNAcentral is "bacterial SSU rRNA". It matches the Rfam family "Bacterial small subunit ribosomal RNA", at positions 524 to 898 of the family's 1533-position model. The record is from RNAcentral.
UACGUAGGGUGCGAGCGUUAAUCGGAAUUACUGGGCGUAAAGCGUGCGCAGGCGGUUUUGUAAGCCAGACGUGAAAUCCCCGGGCUUAACCUGGGAACUGCGUUUGGAACUGCAAGACUAGAGUGUGUCAGAGGGAGGUGGAAUUCCACGUGUAGCAGUGAAAUGCGUAGAUAUGUGGAGGAACACCGAUGGCGAAGGCAGCCUCCUGGGAUAACACUGACGCUCAUGCACGAAAGCGUGGGGAGCAAACAGGAUUAGAUACCCUGGUAGUCCACGCCCUAAACGAUGUCAACUGGCUGUUGGGAGAGAAAUCUUUCAGUAGCGAAGCUAACGCGUGAAGUUGACCGCCUGGGGAGUACGGCCGCAAGGUUGAA